This is a long non-coding RNA of Aedes albopictus (Asian tiger mosquito), 2141 nucleotides long. RefSeq lists it as uncharacterized. The transcript has 3 exons. NCBI's taxonomy places the organism in Eukaryota, Metazoa, Arthropoda, Insecta, Diptera, Culicidae. The record is from RefSeq and is a predicted model, not a curated record.
GAGAAAGGCAGAAAUAACUUCAGAUCGUGUUUUGCCUCAUAAAACGGUAAAAAAAUGCAUUCGAAAGCAAUUUACAUGUUAAUCCUAUAUGCUUAUUUUUCUUGGAAGAUUUUGAAUAGCGACUAUAUAAAGCAGUUUCGUACAAGGUUUUGCUUCAGUCAACAGUCAGUAACACGUCCGGAUUGUUGUGAUAGAAAGGUGAUUUUUAGGUCGAGAUGUCGCAUGUGAAACUAAUAAGCGCAGUCGCAUUGAUAUUGUGUGGAAAAUUGGUGUCAGCAGCUCCAACAAACAAAGAAUCAACUUCUGCACUGUCCAUAGAGAAAGAAAACAAUCAUCAUGAAAUCGAUUUGAGUUAUAAGGUAAAAAGAGACAUUGGACAAAAUACUUUCCGAGAAGUAGUGGACUCCAGCAUCAUAAUAACGAAGUCACAACCAGUUUAUGAUGCUCGUGACGCAAUUGGAAUCACACCAAAAGUAAUAACGUGUUCGUUUUGCGGAAAAUAAUGCAUGAAAAAUAUUACGCAAAGUGGUGCUUUUCACUAUGAAAAUAGCGAUUUUUUAAAUGUUUAUUUUUUAUUUCUCUCAUAUUAUGCAUGAACUUUAUUCAUGAUAAAAAAAAUUGCAUCCCCAGUUUGUCAUUUUUACUCUAGUAUAAGUUUUGAGAAAAGCCCAAGCAUAAAAUCAUAGAAACUGUAAAUACAAAUAUCCUUUUCGCGACAAACCCGCACAAUUUUGUGCUGUUGAGCGAUAACAAUUUAGCAUAUUGUCAGAACAUUUGGAACGGUGGCAGAGCUGUACACCUGAAAAGCGAAACAGCAAAAGUCGGACUGGUGGUGAAUGCCUCAAAAACAAAGUACAUGCUGGUAGGCGGAACCGAACACGACCGGAUCCUCGGAUCCUUACUGACGGCUGACAGCGGAAGUCGGGCCUACUACGGGCUCCAGAAGAAACUGCGGUCGAAAAAGAUUCACCCACGCACCAAAUGCACCAUGUACAAAACGCUAAAAGACCGGUGGUACUCUACGGGUACGAGACAUGGACCAUGCUCGAGGAGGACCUGCAGGCACUCGGAGUUUUCGAGCGACGCGUGCUAAGGACGAUCUUCGGCGGUGUGCAGGAGAACGGUGUGUGGCGAAGAAAAAUGAACCACGAGCUCGCUGCACUUUACGGCGAACCCAGCCGUAAGCCAGUAAGCCGGAAGGAUACGGUGGGCAGGGCAUGUUGCAAGAAUGCCAGACAACAACCCUGCAAAGCUGGUGUGUACAACUGAUCCGGUUGGCACAAGAAGGCGUAGAGCGCAGAUGGGCGCGUCAGAGGAUGGAGAGCGGCAGCCACAAACCGAGUAUUGUGGCGUAAUAUUGUUGAUUAUGUCUUUUCUUAAUGAUGUUGAACAAAUAAAUGUAUGUAUUCUGCGUCCCGUGGUGAACUUUGCAAACAUGCCACAUCGCGUAUCCGUAUUCGGUCUGGACUUUAGCGUCUUUUACAGGGGAAUGCGGGUGGACCAUCUGAGCCCAAGGGAACUCGAUUAUGAGCUCUUCCUUCAAAGCGUUAUCAUUGCGGAUGACGAAACGCAUUGCAAACGCUGCCGUCGGUUGAAACACGUCGGUCACGAAUUCAUAAUCUACUAUGAUCAGGAACCAGAAAUCGAUCUGGGCGCGUGCAGAUAUUUGUUUCGGAAACACGAAAGGACCUUCUCUAGAUCAGCCAGUUAACUAGAGGAAAAUGUUUGUAAAGCUCGUCUGUUGCAUUUGGGUCACUGCCUCGUAGCUACGGUGUCCUAAUGGAAGAUAAGAAAAUAUUCAGGAACGAGCCAAGGUCUGGGGAUAAACAAUUUCUUGUCAAGCGACCCGUGUAUGACCCCGUGUACAUGUACAUACAUGUACCAUGUACAUGACCCCGUGCAUGCGACUGCCGAUUAUCUUUACGAUUCGGCUAUUCUGUUGUUCAUUGGUGCCUCGCUGAGCUGGUACACAGCCCGCAAAUAAAAUCCGCCUUUCGGUUCGGCUUUUCGUUAUAUCGCAGAGUACCUGUACUGGGACCUUCAGGAACGACGUUUCCGAUUUGUCGUGUCCAGUUAGCAAAUUCACGCACAAUAUUGUACCUAACGUUAACCUUGUUCAUGUUAGCUGACGCUCACCACGC